Molecule: ribosomal RNA, 254 nt
Filed under: uncultured bacterium
Lineage: Bacteria
Description: partial 16S ribosomal RNA
Rfam family: Bacterial small subunit ribosomal RNA
Source: RNAcentral
UACGAAGGGGGCUAGCGUUGCUCGGAAUCACUGGGCGUAAAGCGCACGUAGGCGGCUUUUUAAGUCAGGGGUGAAAUCCUGGAGCUCAACUCCAGAACUGCCUUUGAUACUGAGAAGCUUGAGUCCGGGAGAGGUGAGUGGAACUGCGAGUGUAGAGGUGAAAUUCGUAGAUAUUCGCAAGAACACCAGUGGCGAAGGCGGCUCACUGGCCCGGUACUGACGCUGAGGUGCGAAAAGCGUGGGGAGCAAACAGG